UGCGUAGGUGGUCAGGUAAGUCUGAUGUGAAAUCUCUGAGCUCAACUCAGAAACUGCAUUGGAUACUAUCUGGCUUGAGGAGUGGAGGGGGGACUGGAAUACUUGGUGUAGCAGUGAAAUGCGUAGAUAUCAAGUGGAACACCAGUGGCGAAGGCGAGUCCCUGGACACUUCCUGACACUGAGGCACGAAAGCUAGGGGAGCAAACA
RNAcentral lists this ribosomal RNA (207 nucleotides) under uncultured bacterium. Its description in RNAcentral is "partial 16S ribosomal RNA". It matches the Rfam family "Bacterial small subunit ribosomal RNA", at positions 568 to 774 of the family's 1533-position model. The record is from RNAcentral.